Molecule: ribosomal RNA, 841 nt
Filed under: Lactiplantibacillus plantarum
Lineage: Bacteria; Bacillati; Bacillota; Bacilli; Lactobacillales; Lactobacillaceae
Description: bacterial SSU rRNA
Rfam family: Bacterial small subunit ribosomal RNA
Source: RNAcentral
CGUGCUAUACAUGCAGUCGAACGAACUCUGGUAUUGAUUGGUGCUUGCAUCAUGAUUUACAUUUGAGUGAGUGGCGAACUGGUGAGUAACACGUGGGAAACCUGCCCAGAAGCGGGGGAUAACACCUGGAAACAGAUGCUAAUACCGCAUAACAACUUGGACCGCAUGGUCCGAGCUUGAAAGAUGGCUUUGGCUAUCACUUUUGGAUGGUCCCGCGGCGUAUUAGCUAGAUGGUGGGGUAACGGCUCACCAUGGCAAUGAUACGUAGCCGACCUGAGAGGGUAAUCGGCCACAUUGGGACUGAGACACGGCCCAAACUCCUACGGGAGGCAGCAGUAGGGAAUCUUCCACAAUGGACGAAAGUCUGAUGGAGCAACGCCGCGUGAGUGAAGAAGGGUUUCGGCUCGUAAAACUCUGUUGUUAAAGAAGAACAUAUCUGAGAGUAACUGUUCAGGUAUUGACGGUAUUUAACCAGAAAGCCACGGCUAACUACGUGCCAGCAGCCGCGGUAAUACGUAGGUGGCAAGCGUUGUCCGGAUUUAUUGGGCGUAAAGCGAGCGCAGGCGGUUUUUUAAGUCUGAUGUGAAAGCCUUCGGCUCAACCGAAGAAGUGCAUCGGAAACUGGGAAACUUGAGUGCAGAAGAGGACAGUGGAACUCCAUGUGUAGCGGUGAAAUGCGUAGAUAUAUGGAAGAACACCAGUGGCGAAGGCGGCUGUCUGGUCUGUAACUGACGCUGAGGCUCGAAAGUAUGGGUAGCAAACAGGAUUAGAUACCCUGGUAGUCCAUACCGUAAACGAUGAAUGCUAAGUGUUGGAGGGUUUCCGCCCUUCAGUGCUGCAG